RNAcentral lists this long non-coding RNA (19728 nucleotides) under Lathyrus oleraceus (garden pea). Its description in RNAcentral is "Pisum sativum (pea) long non-coding RNA (PSAT_LNC039457)". Lineage: Eukaryota; Viridiplantae; Streptophyta; Magnoliopsida; Fabales; Fabaceae. The record is from RNAcentral.
UGUUUUUCUAAAUUUUGUAUAUUGUUAUCAAGAAAUGAGAAGAUUGAUAGUGUUAUUAGUGUUCUUUUUUGCUAAAUUUUGUAUAUUGUUAUCAAGAAAUGAGAAGAUUGAUAGUGUAUUUAGUGUUCUUGUUUUGCUAAAUUUUGUAUAUUGUUAUCAAGAAAUGAGAAGAUUGAUAGUGUUAUUAGUGUUCUUGUUUUGCUAAAUUUUGUAUAUUGUUAUCAAGAAAUGAGAAGAUUGAUAGUGUUAUUAGUGUUCUUGUUUUGCUAAAUUUUAUAUUGAUACAAGAAAUGAGAAGAUUGAUAGUGUUAUUAGUGUUCUUGUUGCUAAAUUUUGUAUAUUGUUCAAGAAAUGAGAAGAUUGAUAGUGUUAUUAGUGUUUUGUUUUGCUAAAUUUUGUAUAUGUUAUCAAGAAAUGAGAUAUGAGUGUAUUAGUGUUCUUGUUUUGCUAAAUUUGUAUAUUGUUAUCAGAAAAUGAGAAGUUGAUAGUGUUAUUAGUGUUCUGUUUUGCUUAUUUUGUAUAUUGUUAUCAAGAAAUGAGAAGAUUGAUAGUGUUUAUUAGUGUUUCUUGUUAUCAAGAAACGUUUGACCGCUGACCCUUUAGCAAAAUCUCUCAAAAAUGAAAGGCAUUGCCAUGGGGAAUUCUCCAUGGCUUCUAUUCAGUAAAAUAAGGAUAUGGAAGAUUGUUAUUAGUGUUCUUGUUUUGCAAAAUUUUGUAUAUUGUUAUCAAGAAAUGAGAAGAUUGAUAGUGUUAUUAGUGUUCUUGUUUUGCUAAAUUUUGUAUAUUGUUAUCAAGAAAUGAGAAGAUUGAGAGUGGUAUUAGUGUUCUUGUUUUGCUAAAUUUUGUAUAUUGUUAUCAAGAAAUUAGAAGUUUGAUAGUGUUAUUAGUGUUCUUGUUUUGCUAAAUUUUGUAUAAUUUUAUCAAGAAAUGAGAAGAUUGAUAGUGUUAUUAGUGUUCUUGUUUUGCUAAAUUCUAUAUAUUGUUAUCAAGAAAUGAGAAGAUUGAUAGGGUUAUUAGUAUUCAUGUUUUGCUAAAUAUUGUAUAUUGUUAUCAAGAAAUGAGUAGAUUGAUAGUGUUAUUAGUGUUCUUGUUUUGCUAAAUUUUGUAUAUUGUUAUCAAGAAAUUAGAAGAUUGAUAGUGUUAUUAGUGUUCUUGUUUUGCUAAAUUUUGUAUAUUGUUAUCAAGAAAUGUGAGAAGAUUGAUAGUGUUAUUAGUGUUUCUUGUUUUUGCUAAAUUUUGUAUAUUUUAUCAAGAAAUGAGAAGAUUGAUAGUGUUAUUAGUGUUCUUGUUUUGCUAAAUUUGUAUAUUGUUUCAAGAAAUGAGAAGAUUGAUAGUGUUUAUUAGUGUUCUGUUUGCUAAAUUUUGUAUAUGUUAUCAAGAAAUGAGAAGAUUGAUAGUGUUAUUAGUGUUCUUGUUUUGCUAAAUUUUGUAUAUUGUUAUCAAGAAUGAGAAGAUGUGUGUGUUUUAUUAGUUCUUGUUUUGCUAAUUUUGUAUUGUUCAAGAAAUGGAGAAGAUGAUAGGUGUUUAUUGUGCUUCUUUUGCUAAAUUGUAUAUUGUUUCAAAAAAUGAGAAGAUGAUAGUGUUUUAUGUGUUCUUUUUUUGCUAAAUUUUGUAUAUUGUUAUCAAGAAAUGAGAAGAUUGAUAGUGUAUUAGUGUUCUUGUUUUGCUAAAUUUGUAUAUUGUUAUCAAGAAAUGGAGAAGAUUGAUAGUGUUAUUGUAGUGUUCUUGUUUUGCUAAAUUUUGUAUAUUGUUAUAAGAAAUGAGAGAGUUGAUAGUGUUAUUAGUGUUCUUUGGUUUGCUAAAUUUUGUAUAUUUGUUAUCAAGAAAUGAGAAGUAUGAGAUAGUGUUAGUUAGUGUUCUUGUUUUGCUGAAUUUUUGUAUAUUGUUAUCAAGAAAUGAGAAGAUUGAUAGUGUUAUUAGUGGUUUUCGUUUUGCUAAAUUUUGUAUAUUGUUUCAAGAAUGAGAAGAUUGAUAUGUUAUUAGUGUUCUUGUUUGCUAAAUUUGUAUAUUGUUAUCAAGAAUGAGAAGAUUGAAUAGUGUUAUUAGUGUUCUUGUUUUGCUAAAUUUUGUAUAUUGUUUAUCAAGAAAUGAGAAGUGAUAGUGUUUAUUAGUGUUCUUGUUUUGCUAAAUUUUGUAUAUUUUAUCAAGAAUGAGAAGAUUGAUAGUGUUAUUAGUGUUCUUGUUUUGCUAAAUUUUGUAUAUUGUUAUCAAGAAUAGAAGAUUGAUAGUGUUAUUAGUGUUCUUGUUUUGCUAAAUUUUGUAUAUUGUGUCAAAGAAAUGAGAAGAUUGAUAGUGUUAUUAGUGUUCUUUGUUUGCUAAAAUUUGUAUAUUGUUAUCAAGAAAUGAGAAGAUUGAUAGUGUUAUUAGUGUUCUUGUUUUGCUAAAUUUGUAUAUUGUUUAUCAAGAAAUGAGAAGAUUGAUAGUGUUAUUAGUGUUCUUGUUUUGCUAAAUUUUGUAUAUUGUUAUCUAAGAAAUGAAGAAGAUUGAUAGUGUUAUUAGUGUUCUUGUUUUGCUAAAUUUUGUAUAUUGUUAUCAAGAAUAAUGAAGUACGAUAGUGUUAUUAGUGUUCUUGUUUUGCUAAAUUUUGUAUUAUUGUUAUCAAGAAAUGAGAGAUUGAUAGCUGUAUUAGUGUUCUUGUUUUGCUAAAUUUUGUAUAUUGUUAUCAAGAAAUGAGAAGAUUGAUAGUGUUAUUAGUGUUCUUGUUUUUUUGCUAAAUUCUAUAUAUUGUUAUCAAGAAAUGAGAAGAUUGAUAGGGUUAUUAGUAUUCAUGUUUUGCUAAAUUUUGUAUAUUGUUAUCAAGAAAUGAGAAGAUUGAUAGGGUUAUUAUUGUUCUCGUUUUGCUAAAUUUUGUAUAUUCUUAUCAAGAAAUAAGAAGAUUGAUAGUGUUGUUAGUGUUCUUGUUUUGCUAAAUUUUGUAUAUUGUUAUCAAGAAAUGAGAAGCUUGAUAGUGUUAUUAGUCGUCUUGUUUUUCUAAAUUUUGUAUAUUAUUAUCAAGAAAUGAGAAGGUUGAUAGUGUUAUUAGUGUUCUUGUUUUGCUAAAUAUUGUAUAUUGUUAUCAAGAAAUGAGAAGAUUGAUAGUCUUAUUAGUGUUCUUGUUUUGCUAAAUUAUGUAUACUGUUAUCAAGAAAUGAGAAGAUUGAUAUUGUUAUUAGUGUUCUUGUUUUGCUAAAUUUUGUAUAUUGUUAUCAAGAAAUGAGAAGAUUGAUAGUGUUAUUAGUGUUCUUGUUUUGCUAAAUUUUGUAUAUUGUUAUCAAGAAAUGAGAAGAUUGAUAGUGUUAUUUGUGUUCUUGUUUUGCUAAAUUUUGUAUAUUGUUAUCAAGAAAUGAGAAGAUUAAUAGUGUUAUUAGUGUUCUUGUUUUGCUAAAUUUUAUAUAUUGUUAUCAAGAAAUAGGAAGGUUGAUAGUGUUAAUAGUUUUCUUGUUUUGCUUAAUUUUGUAUAUUGUUGUCAAGAAAUGAGAAGAUGAUAGUGUUAUUAGUGUUCUUGUUAUCAAGAAACGUUUGAAGCUGACCCUUUAGCAAAAUCUCUCAAAAAUGAAAGGCAUUGCCAUGGGGAAUUCUCGAUGGCUUCUAUUCAGUCAAAUAAGGAUAUGGAAGAUCACAACCAAGUCGAUGUAAGUCAUGACGUGAGUUAUUUCUUUGCUUCUUUUUUCUUAGCAUACUACUCUGUAUAUUAUUAUCAAGAAAUGAGAAGAUUGAUAGUGUUAUUAGUGUUCUUGUUUUGCUAAAUUUUGUAUAUUGUUAUCAAGAAAUGAGAAGAUUGAUAUUGUUAUUAGUGUUCUUGUUUUGCUAUAUUUUGUAUAUUGUUAUAAAGAAAUGAGAAGAUUGAUAGUGUUAUUAGUGUUCUUGUUUUGCUAAAUUUUGUAUAUUGUUAUCAAGAAAUGAGAAGAUUGGUAGUGUUAUUAGUGUUCUUGUUUUGCUAAAUUNNNNNNNNNNNNNNNNNNNUGCAAGAGGAAAUUUCUUUCUCUUGAAAAAUGCAAGGCUUGCCAUGUACUGUGCGAAUCCCAUAGAGCUUCCUCCUAGUUUUCAGUCCAGAAACUCUUAAGUUGGGAUAUGGAAGAUCACAACCAAGUCGAUGUAACUCAUACGCACUGUCGUUGAUUAUGAUGGAUUCAAAGGCCACACCACUGCUUUCUAAUCCGUACGUCAACAUCUUUGAGGACGUCUAUUACGUGAGUUAUUCUUUGCUUCCCCUUUUUCUUAGCAUACUUAUCUAUAUAUUUUUUAUCAAAGGAUAAUAGUAAGAUUGAUAGUGUUAUAGUGUCGAUUGUUUUGCCUAAUUGUUGCGUAUAUGUAUCCAUACUCCAAAGAGAAGAUUGUAAUAUUAGUUAGUGUUCGUGUCUUUUGCUAAAAUUUUAUUUAUCAAGAAACGAGAGAGGAUUGAUAGUGCUGAUUUUAGUAGUUUCUUGUUUACGUAAAAUUGUAGACUUAUUUCAAGAAAUGAGAAAGAUUGAUAAAUGUUAUUAGUUUUGCUUGUUUUGCUUAAAUUUGCUGAUGUUAUCAAGAAAUAUAGAUGAUAGUGUUAUUAGUGUGCUUGUUUUUCUAAAUUUGUAUAUUUAUUCAAGAAAUGAGAAGGUUGAUAAGUAUUUAAGUUUCUUGUGUUGCUAAAUUUUUAUAUUGUUUUUAGCAAAGGAAAUUGAGAAGGUUGAUAGUGUUAUUAGUAUUCUUGUUUUGCUACAAUUUUGUUAUUGUUACUCAAGAAAUGAGAAGAUGAUAGUGUUAUUUAGUGAUUCUUGGGGUUUACAAAGGAAACGUUGACGUCUGACCUAUGCUCUCAUUAAAAUUCUCUGGGAAAAAUGAACAGCAUUGCCUAGAGAAGUUUCCAUGCUGCUCUUCAGUCAAAUAAGGGAUAUGGAAGAUUCACAACCAAGCGAGUAUAGCCAUGAGCGCUACUAAUUUCGUUGGAAAUUAUGAUGGCUUCAGAACGCCACACGCUGUCUUCCUUUUUAUCCGUGACGCACAUCUUUAGGACCUUCUAUUCGGGGAGUUAGUGUCUUUGCUUUCUUUUUUCUUAGGCUAUACUUUAUCUGUAGGUAUUGUUCAUUCCAAUAUUAAGCUAGAUUUUGAGAUAGUGUGGUUUAGUGUUCUUGUUUUGCUAAAUUAUAUAUUGUUAUCAAGUAAAUGAGAGAGUGGAUAAGUGUUAUUGGUGGUUUCUUGUUUUGCUAAAUGUGUGGUAUAUUGUAUCAAGAAAUGUAGAAGAUUUGAAGUGUUAUUUGUGUUCUUGUUGUGACUAAAUCUACUAAACAAUUUGUCUUAUUGUUAUCAAGAAGAUGAGAAGAUUGAUAGUGUUAUUAAUGUUGUGAGUUGCUAAAUUUGGCUUUUGUUACUCAAGAAAUCGAGAAAGAUUGAUAGUCGUUAUUAGUGUUCUUGUUGCUAAAUUUUGUAUAUUUUACCCAAAGAAAUGAUGAAGAUUGAUAGUUGUUAUUAGUGGUUCUUGUUUUGCUAAAUUGGUAUAUUGUUAUCAGAAAUCGAAGAAGGAUUUAUAGUGUUAUUAGUGUUCUUGUUUUGCGUUAAAUUGUAUAUUAUUAUCAAGAAAUGAGAAGGUUGAUAGUCGGGUAGUUAGUGUCUCUCUCGUUUUGCUAAAUUUUGUUAUGUUAUCAAGGAAAUGAGAAGAUUGAUAGUGUUAUUAGUGUUCUUUUAUUAUUUCAAGAAACGUUUCGAAGCUGACCCUUGAUAGCGAAAUCUCUCAAAAGAAAGCAUGCACAUAAAGGACGAAAUUCUCCAAUUGGCUUUGCUAGUCAUCAAAAAGGAAUGGAAGACACAACCAAAGUGGCUAUGUAAGUCAUGACGCACUGUUCGUUUGAAUUUAGUGUAUGGCUUCACAAGGCCACACCCCGAACGCUUCCUGAUAUUGCGGUACGGCCACAUCUUUAGGACUCUAUUACGUCGAGUUAUUUCUUUGCUUCUUUGGUUUCUUAGCAGACUAACUACUGAUCUAUUGUUAUCAAGAAAUGAGAAAAAGAUAUGAUAGUGUUAGUAGUGUCAAUGUGUUUCGCUAAAUUUUGUAUAUUGUUAUCAGAAAUGAGAAGGAGUUUCUAGUGUUCAUCUAAGCUGUUCUUGUUUUUUCUGUAAUUAGUUAUAUUGUGUAUCAAGAAAUGAGACGAUUGAUUAGUUGAUUACCGUGUUCUUAUUAUUGCCUAAAUUUUGUAUAUUGUUUCAAGAACAUAGAAGAUUGAUAAUUUAUAGUGUUUUCUCUGUUUGCUAAUUUGUAUACGUAUAUUCAAUGAAUAGGAAGGAUUGAUAGUGUUAUUAGUGUUCUUGUUUGCUAAACUUUCGUGUAUAUUGUAUAUCCAAGCAAAUGAGAAUGAUUAUAGUUGUUAUUAGUGUUCUUGUUUUGCGCUAAAUUUGUAUAUGUUAUCAAGAAAUGAGAAGAUUGAUAUGUGUUAUUAUGUUGUUCUUGUUUUGCUAAAUUACUGUAUAUUGUAUCAAAAAAUGAGAAGAUUUGAUAGCUAGUUAUUGUGUUCUUUCUCGUGUUUUGCUAAAUUUGUAUAUAUGUUAUCAAGAAAUAGGAAGUUGAUAGUGUUAUUAGCUGUUCUUGGUUUUUAUAAAUUAUUGUAUAUUUAUGUAAGAAAUGAGAAGAUUGAUAUGUUAUUAGUGUUCUUGUCUUUUUUGCUAAAUUUGAUAUUGUAUCAAGAAAUGGAGAACUGAUUGAUAGUGUUUAGUGUUUAGUCAUUGUUUUGCUAAUAUGUAUACUUUGUAUCAAGAAAUGAGAGAUUGAUAGUUGAUAGGUGUUCUUGUUUUAGCUAAUAUUGUAUAUUGUUAUCAAGAAAUGAGAAGCAUUGAUAGUGUUAUUAGUGUUCUUGCUUUUGCCUAAAUUGUAUAUUGUUAUCAAGAAAUGAGAAGAUGGAUGAUAGUGUUAUUAGUGUUCUAUUUUUUGCUAAAUUUUCGCUAUAUUGAUUAUCAAGAAAUGAGAAGAUUGAUAGUGAUUUAGUGUUCUUCUUUUGCUAAAUUUUGUUAUAUUGUUUAUUAUCAAAAAGUGAGAAGAGUGAUAGAUUAGUUGUCGUUCUUGUUUUGCUUAAUUGGUAUAUUGUUAUCAAGAAAUAGAGAAGAUUGAUUAGUGUUAUUAGUGGUUUCUUGUUUUGCUAAAUUUGUAUAUUGUGUAUCAAGAAAUUGAGAGAUUGAUAGUGUAUUAGUGUUCUGUUUUGCUAAAUUUGCGUAUAUUGUUAGCAAGAAGUGAGCAAGGAUUUACUAGUGUUAUUAGGUUUCUUGUUAUUGCUAAAUUUUUGUAUAAUUAUUAAUCAAGAGAAUCGAGAAGGUUGAUAGUGGAUUAGUGCUUUCUUUUUUGCCUUAAAUUUUGUAUAUGCUUAUCUUAAUGAGAAUGAGAAGAUUGAGUGUGAUAAGUGAUUUCUAUGUUUUGCUAAUAUUUCCGUAAUAUUUUUAUCAAGAAAUGUAGAAGAUUUGAUAGUUGUAUAGAUGCCUUCUGUGUGUGCUCUAAAUUUGUAUAUUGUUACAAGAGAGAGAACAAGAUUGAUAGUGUUAUGGUGGGGUAGUGUUCUUGUUUGCUAUAAUUUGGCUAUAUUGUUAUCAAGAAAUAGAAAUUUAGAGGUAUUAGUGUUCUCGUUUUUGCAAAUUUUGUAUAUUAUUAUCAGAAUGAGAAGGUUGAUAGUGUUAUUAGUGUUCGUGUUUUGCUAAAUUUUGUUAUUGUUAUCAAGAAAUGAGAGAAUUGAUAGUGUUAUUAGUGUGCUAUAUCAAGAAACGUUUGACGACUGACCCUUUAGCAAAAAUCUGCUCAAAAAGUUGAAAGGCCCAUUGAUAGGGAAUUCUCCAGUGGCAUUCUAUCACCCCAAAUCAAGGAUAUGAAGCAUCAAAGCAGAACCAAGUCUUAUGUAAGCUAUGACGCACUGUUCGUUUGAAAUUUAUUGAUGGUCUUCAAAGGCCACACAGACUGCUUCCUAUAUUCGUAGCACAUCUUUAGGACACCUCCUAUACGUGGAGUUAUUUUCUUUGUUCUUUUUUCUCCUUUAGCAUACUAAUAUGUAACGGUUAGCAAAGAAUAGAGAAAGAAUUGAUAGUGUUAUUAGUGUUCUUUCUGCCCUAAUUGUAAUGUGUUAGUCAGAAAUGAGAAGAUUGUAGUGUUAUAGUUGUUCUCUCUUGCUAAAUUGGUAUAUUUUAUCAGAAAUGAGAAGAUUUAUAGUGUAUCUCCUGCUCUUGUUGUGCUAAUUCUCGUAUAUUAUUAUCAUAGUAAAUGAGGAAGCGUUGAUAGUGUAUUAGUCGUUCUUGUUAUGGCAUAAAAUAUUUAUUCUCUUGUAUAUUGUAGUUCAAGAAAAUGAGAGAUUGAGUGGUUAAUAAUUGUUCUUGUUAUUGCUAAAUUUGGAUAUUGUUUCAAGAAAUGAGAAGAUUGAUAGUCGUUAUUAGUGUUCUUGUUUUGCUAAAUUUUGUAUAUUGUUUACCCAGAAGAGAGAGCAUGUUGAUAGUGUUAUUAGUGUGCCUUUGCUAUUGUAUAUUGGUAUCAAGAAAUGAGAAGAUUGUUAUAGUGUUAUUAGUGUUUCGUUUUUGCUAAAUUUGUAUGAUUAUUUAUCAAGAAAUGAGAGGUUAUGUAGUUUAUUAGAUGUUCUUGUUUUGCAAAUUUGUAUAUUGUAUCAAGAACAUGAGAAGGAUGGGAUAGUGUUAUUUAAGUGUUCUGAUUAUCAAGAAAACGUUUGACGCUUGACCCUUAGCAAAAUCCUCAAAAUAUGAAAGGCAUUUGGCCAGUCGGAAUCUCAUGGCUUCUAUUCAGUCAAAUAAGGAAUAUGGAAGAUUCAGCACACCUAAGUCUUGUCCAAGUCAUGAACGCACUGUGUCGUGUUGAAGUGAGGAGAUGGCUUCAGAAGCGCCACACACUGCUUCCUAUGAUUCGUACGCACAUCUGUGGACUCUAUUGGUACGUGAGUUAUUUCUUUGCUUCUUUUUUCUAGCAUACUAAUAUGUAUAUGUUUAUCAAGAAUGAGAAGAUGAUCAGUUGUUAUUAGUGUUCUUGUUUGCUAAAUUUUUGUAUAUUAGGUUAUCAAGAAAUGAGAAAGAUGAUAUGUAAAGAUGUUCUUGCUUUGCUAAGUUUUGUAUUUUUAUCAAGAAUGAAGACGAUUGAUAGUUGUGAUUAGUGUUCUUAUUUUGCCUCAACAUUUCGCUCCUCCUUGUUAACAGAAAAGGAUGAUUGAUGAGAUGUUAGAGUGUUCCUUGUUUUGCCUAAAUUUUGUAUAUCGUAUCAAUAAAUGAGGAAGAUUGAUAGUGUUUUAUUAGUGUUCUUGUUUGUGUAAAUUUUGUAUAUUGAUAUCAAAGAAAAUGGAGAAGAUGAUAGUGGUUAUUAGUUUCUUGUUUUGCCCUUAAUUUUGUAUAUUGUUAUCAAGAAAAUGAGAAGAAUUGAUAGUGUUAUUUGUGUUCUUGUUUUGCUAAAUUUUUAGUAUAUUGUUAUCAAAAAAUCAGAAGAUGAUAGUCGUUAUUAUGUUCUUGUUUGCUAAAUUUUGUAUAUUGUUAUCAAAGAAAAUAGAAGGUUGAUAUUAUUAGUUUUCUGUUUUGUUUAAUUUUGUAUAUUGUUUAUCAAGAAAUGAGAAGAUAAGAUUGAUAGUGUUAUUUGUGUUCUUGUUUUGCUAAAUUUUGUAUAUUGUUAUCAAGAAAUGAGAAGAUUAAUGGUGUUAUUAGUGUUCUUGUUUUGCUAAAUUUUAUAUAUUGUUAUCAAGAAAUAGGAAGUUUGAAAGUGUUAAUAGUUUUCUUGUUUUGCUAAAUAUUGUAUAUUGUUAUCAAGAAAUGAGAAGAUUGAUAGUGUUAUUAGUGUUCUUGUUUUGCUAAAUUAUGUAUAUUGUUAUCAAGAAAUGAGAAUAUUGAUAUUGUUAUUAGUGUUCUUGUUUUGAUAUAUUUUGUAUAUUGUUAUAAAGAAAUGAGAAGAUUGAUAGUGUUAUUAGUGUUCUUGUUUUGCUAAAUUUGGUAUAUUGUUAUCAAGAAAUGAGAAGAUUGGUAGUGUUAUUAGUGUUCUUGUUUUGCUAAAUUUUGUUUAUUGUUAUCAAAAAAUGAGAAGAUUGAUAGUGUUAUUAGUGUUCUUGUUUUGCUAAUAUUUGUAUAUUGUUGUCAAGAAAUUAGAAGAUUGAUAGUGUUAUUAGUGUUCUUGUUUUGCUAAAUUUUGUAUAUUGUUAUCAAGAAAUGAGAAGAUUGAUAGUGUUAUUAGUGUUCUUGUUUUUCUAAAUNNNNNNNNNNNNNNNNNNNNNNNNNNNNNNNNNNNNNNNNNNNNNNNNNNNNNNNNNNNNNNNNNNNNNNNNNNNNNNNNNNNNNNNNNNNNNNNNNNNNNNNNNNNNNNNNNNNNNNNNNNNNNNNNNNNNNNNNNNNNNNNNNNNNNNNNNNNNNNNNNNNNNNNNNNNNNNNNNNNNNNNNNNNNNNNNNNNNNNNNNNNNNNNNNNNNNNNNNNNNNNNNNNNNNNNNNNNNNNNNNNNNNNNNNNNNNNNNNNNNNNNNNNNNNNNNNNNNNNNNNNNNNNNNNNNNNNNNNNNNNNNNNNNNNNNNNNNNNNNNNNNNNNNNNNNNNNNNNNNNNNNNNNNNNNNNNNNNNNNNNNNNNNNNNNNNNNNNNNNNNNNNNNNNNNNNNNNNNNNNNNNNNNNNNNNNNNNNNNNNNNNNNNNNNNNNNNNNNNNNNNNNNNNNNNNNNNNNNNNNNNNNNNNNNNNNNNNNNNNNNNNNNNNNNNNNNNNNNNNNNNNNNNNNNNNNNNNNNNNNNNNNNNNNNNNNNNNNNNNNNNNNNNNNNNNNNNNNNNNNNNNNNNNNNNNNNNNNNNNNNNNNNNNNNNNNUGUUCUUGAGAUUUACCUGUAUAUUGUUAAUGAAGAAAUGAAGAAGAUUGAUUUAGUGUUAUUAGUGUCUUGUUUUGCUAAAUUUUGUAUAUUGUUAUCAAGAAUGAGAAGAUUGAUAGUGUUUAUUAGUGGUUCUUGUUUUGCUAAAUUUUGUAUAUUGUUAUCAAGAAAUGAGAAGAUUGAUAGUGUUUAUUAGUGUUCUUGUUUUGCUAAAUUUUGUAAUUUUGUUAUCAAGAAAAUGAGAAAGGUAGAUGUUAUUAAGUGUCUUGUUUUGGCUAAUUUUGUAUAUUGUUAUCUAAGAAAUGAGAAGAUUGAUAGUGUUAUUAGUGUUCUUGUUUUGCUAAAUUUGUAUAUUGUUAUCAAAGAAAUGAGAAAGAUUGAAUAGUGUUAUUAGUGUUCUUGUUUUGGCUAAUUUUGUAUAUUUGUUAUCAAGAAAUAGAAGAUUGAUAGUGUUAUUAGUGUUCUUUUUGCUAAAUUUUGUAUAUUGUUAUCAAGAAAUGAGAAGAUUGAUAGUGUUAUUAGUGUUCUUGUUUGCUAAAUUUUGUAUAUUGUUAUCAAGAAAUGAGAAAGAUUGAUAGUGUUAUUAGUGUUCUUGUUUUGCUAAAUUUUGUAUAUUGUUAUCAAGAAAUGAGAAGAUUGAUAUGUGUUAUUAGUGUUCUUGUUUUGCUAAAUUUUUGUAUAUUGUUAUCAAGAAAUAGAGAAGAUUGAUAGUGUUAUUAGUGUUCUGUUUUGCUAAAUUUUGUAUAUUGUUAUCAAGAAAUGAGAAGAUUGAUAGUGUUAUUAGUGUUCUUGUUUUGCUAAAUUUUGUAUAUUGUUAUCAAGAAAUUGAGAAAGAUUGAUAGUGUUAUUAGUGUUCUUGUUUUGCUAAUUUUUUGUAUAAAUUGUUAUCAGAGAAAUGAGAAGAUUGAAGUGUUACUAUAGUGUUCUUGUUAUCAAAACAUUAACAGCUGACAAUCCCUUUACCAAAUCUCCCAAAUGAAAGGCAUUGCGCAUGGGAAUUCUCCAUAGCUCUGUUAGUGCAGAAUAUGGGAUAAUGUGGUAUAGAUACACAAACUAGGACGGAUGUAGCCAUGACGCACUGUAUCGUUCGGGAAUUUAUGAUGGCUCUCAAAGGCCACACCGCCGCUGGCUUCCUAUAUCCCGUACGCACAUCUUAGGACGCGGGUAUUACGUGAUUUAUUUUUUUGCUCUUUAACCACUUACCUGUAUACUUGUUAUGAGAAAUGAAAGGAUUUAUAGUGUUAUUAGUGGUUCUGUAAAUUGCGCUAAAUUUGUAAUAAUGUCUAAAGAAAAUGAGAAGAAUCUGAUAGUUUAUUAGUGUUCUUGUUUGCUAAAUUUGGUAUAUGUGUCAGAAAUAAGGAAGAUUGAUAUGUUGUAGUGUUCUGUUUUGCUAAAUUGUAUAGUUAUCACAGAAAUGAGAAAGAUUGAUACUUAUUAUUUCUUUUUUGCCAAAUUGUAUAUUAUAAAAUGAGAAAUGAUGGUAUAUUAUUGUGUUGUUGUUUUGCUAAAUUUUGUACUAUCUAGUUAUCAUGAAAUUAGAGAUUAUAUAGGUCGUUGGAAUUGUAAUUUCUGUCUAUGUUAAUCUUUUGCUAAAUUGUAUAUUGUUAUCAAGAAAUGAAAAUGAUUUUAUUUUUUGUGUUCUAAUUUGGUUAUGGCUGAAAUAAGUGAUAUUAUUGUGUUGUCAAAAAUGAUAUCUGACAAUAAAUGAUAGAUUAAAUGUCUGUGUUUUGCUAAAUUUGUAUACAUGUUAUCCUAAAAAUGAGAACAUGGAUAAGUGUUACAUAGUGUUCUUACGUUUGUUGGAAAUUUGUAUAUUGUUAUCAGAAUGGAAGAAUUGAAUAGUGUUAUUAGUGUUCUUGUUUUGCCUAAUUUUUGUAUAUUUUACAAGAAAUGAGAAAUGAUAGUGUAUUAGUGUUCUUGUGGUUUGCUAAUUUGUCAUAAUGUUAAUCCAGAAAGAGAAAUCUGAUCAUGUAUAUAGUUCUUGUUUGGCUACAAAUUUGUUAUUAUUAUCAAGAAAAGAAUAGUUAUAGUUUCUUUGUUUUGCUAAAUUUGUAAUAUUUUGUCAAGAAAAUAAAAUUGAUAGUUAUUAGUGCUUGUUGCAAACUUUAUAAUUGUUAUCAAGAAUGCAAAAGAUCGGAUAGCUGUUAUAGUUUCUUGUGUUUGCUAAUAUUUGUAUAUUCUUUACAGGAAAUAGAAGAUAGAUAUGGUUAUAGUUCUUGUUUGCUAAAUUGUGCUAUAUGAUUAUCAAGAAAUGAAAAAAACUUGGAUAGUGUUAUAUAUGUUUCUGUUUUUGCUAAAUUUAAGUUAUUGUUACCAAGAAGAGAAGAUUUGAUAGUGUUAUUAGUCGUUCUGUUUUGCUAUUUGUAUGAUGGUUUGCAAGAAAUAGCAAGAUUGGAUAGUGUUAUAGUGUCUUCGUUUGCUAAAUUAGUCAUAUUGUUCAAAGAAAUGAGAAAUUGAAGUAUGUCGGUUCAAAUGUAUUUAUAAGAGAUGUUGUACCUGCUUUUGCUAAAUUGUUGUAUAAUUGUAUCAAUGAAAAAAGAUGAAAUGUUGAUUAGUGUCUCUUGUUUUGCUAAAUAUUGUAUAUUGUUAUCAAGAAAGAAGAGAUUGAUAUGUUGUUAGGUUCUUAGUUUUGCUAAUUUUGUUAUCAUGUUUAUAAAGAAAUGAGAAGAUUGAUAGUUUAUUAAGUGUUCUUGUUCGUAAAUUUGUAAUUUAUUUCAAGAAAUGAGAAAGUGAUAGUGUUAUUAGUGUUCUGUUUGCCUAAAUUUUGUAUAUUGUUAUCAAGUAAAAAUGAGAAGAUUGAUAUUAAUUAGUUUAUUGUUUGCUAAAUUUGUAUAUUGUUAUCAAGAAAUCAGAAGAUGAUUAGUGUUAUUAGUGAUCUUUGUUUCCCUAAAUUUUGUAAUAUCUUAUCAAGAAAUGAGAAAUGAAUGUUUAUAGUGUCUUGUUUGCUAAAUUUUAUAUAUUUUAUCAAGAAAUAGAAGAUGAAGUGUUAAUUAGUGUUCUUGUUUUGCUAAAUUUUGAUUAUAUUUGUCAAGAAAUGAGAAGAUUGAUAAAUGUUAUUAGUGUUCUUGUUUGCUAAAAUUUUGUAUAUUGUUAUCAAGAAAUGAGAAGAUGAUAGUGUAUAUAGUGUUUCUUUUGUUUUGCUAAAUUUUGUAUAUGUAUACAAAAAUUAGAAGAUCGAUAGUGUUAUUAGUGUUCCUUGUUUUGCUAAAUUUUGUAUAUUGUUAUCUCAAAGAAAUGAGAAGAUUGAUAGUGUUAUUAGUGUUCUUGUUUUGCUAAAUUUUGUAUAUUGUUAUCAAGAAAUGAAGAAGAUUGAUAGUGUUAUUAGUGUUCUUGUUUUGCUAAAUUUUGUAUAUUGUUAUCAAGAAAUGAGAAGAUUGAUAUGUUAUUAGUGUUUGUUUUUGCUAAAUUUGUAUAUUGUUAUCAAGAAAUAGAAGAUUGAUAGUGUUAUUAGUGUUCUUGUUUGCUAAAUUUUGUAUAUUGUUAUCAAGAAAUGAAGAGAUUGAUAGUGUUAUUAGUGUUCUUGUUUUGCUAAAAUUUUGUAUAUUGUUAUCAAGAAAUGAGAAGAUUGAUAGUGUUAUUAGUGUUCUUGUUUUGCUAAUUUUGUAUAUUGUUAUCAAAGAAAUGAGAAGAUUGAUAUGUUUUAGUGUCUUCGUUUUGCUAAAUUUUUGUAUAUUGUAUCAAAGAAAUGAGAAGAUUGAUAGUGUUAUUAGUGUUCUUGUUUGCUAAAUUUUGUAUAUUGUUAUCAAGAAAUGAGAAGAUGAUAGUGUUAUUAGUGUUUCUUGUUUUGCUAAAUUUUUGUAUAUUUUUAUCAAGAAAUGAGAGAUUGAUAGUGUUAUUAGUGUUUGUUUUGCUAAUUUGUAUAUUGUUAUCAGAAAUGAGAAGAUUGAUAGUGUUAUUUAGUGUUCUUGUUUUCCUAAAUUUUGUAUAUUUUAUCAAGAAAUGAGAAGAUUGAUAGUGUUAUUAGUGUUCUUGUUUGCUAAAUUUUAUAUUGUUAUCAAGAAAUGAGAAGAUUGAUAGUGUUAUUAGUGUUCUUGUUUUGCUAAAUUUUGUAUAUUGUUUUCAAGAAAUGAGAAGAUUGAUAGUGUUAUUAGUGUUCUUGUUUUGCUAAAUUUUGUAUUAUUGUUAUCAAGAAAAUGAGAGAUGAUAUGUAUUAGUGUUCUUGUUUUGCUAAAUUUGUAUAUUGUUAUCAAAGAAAUGAGAAGAUUGGAUAGUGUUAUUAGUGUUCUUGUUUUGCUAAAUUUUGUAUAUUGUUUCAAGAAAUGAGAAGAUUGAUAGUGUUAUUAGUGUUCUUGUUUUGCUAAAUUUUGUAUAUUGUUAUCAAAGAAAUGAGAAGAUUGAUAGUGUUAUAGUGUUCUUGUUUUGCUAAAUUUUGUAUAUUGUUAUCAAGAAAUGAGAAGAUUGAUAGUGUUAUUAGUGCUUGUUUUGCCUAAAUUUUGUAUAUUGUUAUCAAGAAAUGAGAAGAUUGAUAGUGUUAUUAGUGUUCUUGUUUUGCUAAAUUUUGUAUAUUGUUAUCAGAAAUGAGAAGAUUUGAUAGUGUUAUUAGUGUUCUUGUUUUGCUAAAUUUUAUAUUGUUAUCAAGAAAUGAGAAGAUUGAUAGUGUUAUUAGUGUUCUUGUUUUGCUAAAUUUGUAUAUUGUUAUCAAGAAAUGAGAAGAUUGAUAGUGUUAUUAGUGUUCUUGUUUUGCUAAAUUUUGUAUAUUGUUAUCAAGAAUGAGAAGAUUGAUAGUGUUAUUAGUGUUCUGUUUUGCUAAAUUUUGUAUAUUGUUAUCAAAGAAAUGAGAAGAUUGAUAGUGUUAUUAGUGUUCUUGUUUUGCUAAAAUUUAGUAUAUUGUGUAUCAAUAAGAAUGAGAAGAUUGAUAGUGUUAUGAUGUUCUUGUUUGCUAAAUUUUGUAUAUUGUUAUAGAAAUGAGAAGAUUGAUAGUGUAUUAGUGUUCUUGUUUUGCUAAAUUUUGUAUAUUGUUAUCAAGAAAUGAGAAGGUUGAUAGUGUUAUUAGUGUUCUUGUUUUUGCUAAUUUUGUAUAUUGUUAAUGCAAGAAAUGAGAAGAUUGAUAGUGUUAUUAGUGUUCUUUUGUCUUGAAUAUUUUUAUUUGUUACAAGAAAUUGAGAGAUUGAUAGUGUUUAUUUUGUGUUUCUUGUAUCAAGAAACGUUGGACGCUGACCCUUUAGCAAAUCUCUCAAAAAUGAAAGCUUUGCUAAUUUUGUAUAUUGUUAUCAAGAAAUGAGAAGAUUGAUAGUGUUUUUAGUGUUCUUGUUUUGCUAAAUUUUGUAUAUUGUUAUCAAGAAAUAAGGAGAUUGAUAAUGUUGUUAGUGUUCUUAUUUUGCUAAAUUUUGUAUAUUGUUAUCAAGAAAUGAGAAGAUUGAUAGUGUUAUUAGUGUUCUUGUGUUGCUAAAUUUGUAUAUUGUUAUCAAGAAAUGAGAAGAUUGAUAGUGUUAUUAGUGUUGUUGUUUUGCUAAAUUUUGUAUAUUGUUAUCUAGAAAAUAGAAGAUUGAUAGUGUUAUUACUGUUCUUGUUUUGCUAAUUUUGUAUAUUGUUAUCAAGAAAUGAGAAGAUUGAUAGUGUUAUUAGUGUUCUUGUUUCGCUAAAUUUUGUAUAUUGUUGACCAGAAAUGAGAAGAUUGAUAGUGUUAUUAGUGUUCUUGUUUUGCUAAAUUUUGUAUAUUGUUAUCAAAAAAUGAGAAGAUUGAUAGUGUUACUAGUGUGCUUGUUUUGCUAAAUUUUGUAUAUUGUUAUCAAGAAAUGAGAAGAUUGAUAGUGUUAUUAGUGUUCUUGUUUUACUAAAUUUUGUAUAUUGUUAUCAAGAAAUGAGAAGAUUGAUAGUGUUAUUUAUCACGAAUAUGAGACGGAUUGAUAGUGUUAUUAGUGUUCUUGUUUUGCUAAUUUUGUAUAUUGUUAUAAGAAAUGAGAAGAUUGAUAGUGUAUUAUGUGUUCUUGUUUGGCUAAUUUGUAUAUUGUUAUCAAGAAAUGAAGCGAUUGUAGUGUUAUUAGUGUUCUUGUUUUGCUAAUUUUGUAUAUUUUCAAGAAAUGAGAGAUAUGAUUGAUAUUUUAGGUUAGUGUUUGCUAAGAUUGGUCUAGAGUAUAAUGGAAUUGAUAUUAGUUCUGUUCUUGUUUGCUAAAUUUGUAUAUUGUUAUCAAGAAAUGAGAGAUUGAUAGUGUUAUUAGUGUUCUUGUUUUGCUAAAUUUUGUAUAUUGUUAUCAAGAAAUGAGAAGAUUGAUAGUGUUAUUAGUGUUUGUGUUUGCUAAAUUUUGUAUAUUGUUAUCAAAAAUGAGAAGAUUGAUAGUGUUCUUGUUUUGCUAAAUUUUGUAUAUGUUAUCAAGAAAUGAGAAGAUUGAAGUGUUAUUAGUGUUCUUGUUUUGCUAAAUUUUGUAUAUUGUUAUCAAGAAAUGAGAAGAUUGAUAGUGUUAUUAGUGUUGUUUUUGCUAAAUUUUGUAUAUUGUUAUAAGAAAUGAGAAGAUUGAUAGUUGUUAUAGUGUUCUUGUUUGCUAAAUUUUGUAUUAGUUAUCAAGAAAUGAGAAGAUUGAUAGUGUAUUAGUGUCUUGUUUUGCUAAAUUUGUAUAUUGUUAACAAAUGAGAAGAUGAUAGUGUUAUUAGUGUUCUUGUUUUUUUUUAAAUUUUGUAUAUUGUUAUCAAGAAAUGAGAAGAUUGAUAGUGUUAUUAGUGUUCUUUUUUGCUAAAUUUUGUAUAUUGUUAUAAGAAAUGAGAAGAUUGAUAGUGUAUAGUGUUCUUGUUUGCUAAAUUUGUAUAUUGUUAUCAAGAAAUGAGAAGAUUGAUAGUGUUAUUUAGUGUUCUUGUUUUCUAAAUUUUGUAUAUUGUUAUCAAGAAAUGAGAGAUUGAUAGUGUUAUUAGUGUUUUUGUUUUGCUAAUUUUGUAUAUUGUUAUCAAGAAAUGAGAAGAUGAUAGUGUUAUAGUGUUCUUGUUUUUGCUAAAUUUUGUAUAUUGUUAUCAAAGAAUGAGAGAUUGAUAGUGUUUUUUCGUCUUAUUGUUCAUUUAUAGAGAUGUUAUGAUCGUAGUUAUUUAAUUGGUUCUCUUGUUUUGAAAUUUGUAUAUUGUUAUCAAGAAAUGAGAGAUUUGAUAGUGUUAUUAGUGUUCUUGUUUUGAAAUUUUCUAUAUUGUUAUAAAAAUAAGGAUGAUUUAGUAUAUUCGUGUAUAUGUUUGCUAUUAUAUUGUAUAUUGUUAUCAAGAAAUGGAAGAUUGAUAGUGUUAUUAGUGUUCUUGUUUUUCUAAUUUUUAUAUUGUUAUCAAGAUAAAUAGUAGAUUGAUAGUGUUAUAUAGUGUUCUUGUUUUGCUAAAUUUUUAUAUUGUUAUUAAGAAAUGAGAAAGAUCUGAGUUAUAGUUUCUUGUUCUUUGCUAAAUUUGUAUAUUGUUAUCAAGAAUGAGAGAUUGAUAGUGUAUUAGUGUUCUUGUUUUGCUAAAUUUGUAUAUUGUUAUAAAAUGAGAAGAUUGAUAGUUUUUGUUUGCAAUUGAUGGAUAGUGAAUAUAUUUUUAGUGUCUUAUAUAUUUGUUUUGUAAUUGUUAUCAAGAAAUGAGAAGAUUGAGUGUUAUUAGUGUUCUUGUUUUGCUAAAUUUUGUAUAUUGUUAUUCAAAAAUGAGAAGAUUGAUGUUAUGUUCUUUGUUUUGCUAAAUUUGUAUAUUGUUAUCAAGAAAUGAGAAGAUUGAAGUGUUAUUAGUGUUCUUGUUUUGCUAAAAUUUUGUAUAUUGUUAUCAAGAAAUGAGAAGAUUGAUAGUGUUAUUAGUGUUCUUGUUUGCCCAAAUUUGUGUAUAUUGUUAUUCAAGUAAAAGAGAGAUUGAUAGUUUUAUUAGUGUUCUUGUUUUGCUAAAUUUUGUAUAUUUUAUCAAGAAAUGAGAAGAUGAUAGUGUUAUUAGUGUUCUUGUUUUGCUAAAUUUUGUAUAUUGUUAUCAAGAAAUGAGAGAUGAUUAGUGUUAUUAGUGUUCUUGUUUUGUUUUUAAUUUUGUAUAUUGUUAUCAAGAAAUGAGAAGAUUGAUAGUGUUAUUAGUGUUCUUUUUUGCUAAAUUUGUAUAUUGUUAUUAAGAAAUGAGAAGAUUGAUAGUGUUAUUAGUGUUCUUGUUUUGCAAAUUUUGUAUAUUGUUAUCAAGAAAAUGAGAAGAUUGAUAGUGUUAUUGUUCUUGUUUUUGCUAAAUUUUGUAUAUUGUUACAAGAAAUGAGAAGAUUGAUAGUGUUAUUGUGUUUUGUUUUGCCUAAAUUUGUAUAUUGUUAUCAAGAAUGAGAAGAUUGAUAGUGUUAUUAGUGUUCUUGUUUUGCUAAAUUUUGUAUAUUGUUAUCAAGAAAUGAGAAGAUUGAUAGUGUUAUUAUGUGCGGUUUUCCUAAUUUUUUAUAUUUGUUAUCAAGAAAUGGAGUUGAUAGUGUUAUUAGUGUUCUUUUUUGAAAUUUUGUAUUUGUUAUCAAGAAAUGAGAAGAUUGAUAGUGUUAUUUUUCUGUUGUGUUUGCUAAAUUUUCGUAUUUGUUUAUAAGAAAUGAGAAAGAUUAUAGUGUUAUUAGUGUUCUUGUUUUGCUAAAUUUUAGUAAUUGUUAUUCAGAAAAUGAGAAGAUGAUAGUGUUAUUAGUGUUCUUGUUUUUCUAAAUUUUGUUAUAUGUUAUCAAGAAAUGAGAAGAUUGAUAGUGUUAUUAGUGUUCUUGUUUUGCUAUAUUUUGUAUAUUGUUAUCAAGAAUGAGAGUUAGUAGUGUAUUAGUUUUUCUUGUUGAUUUGUAUUAUUUUAUCAAGAAAAUGAGAAGAUUGAUAGUGUUUUAGUGUUCCUUGUUUUGCUAAAUUUGUAUAUUGUUAUCAAGAAAUGAGAAGAUGAUAGUGUUAUUAGUGUUCUUGUUUUUUUAAAUUUUGUAUAUUGUUAUAAGAAAUGAGAAGAUUGAAGUGUUAUUAGUGUUUCUUUUUUGCUAAAUUUUUAUUUUGUUAUUAAGAAAUGAGAAGAUUGAUAGUGUUAUUAGUGUUCUUGUUUUGCUAAAUUUUGUAUAUUGUUAUCAAGAAAUGAGAAGAU